GCUGAAUAUUCAAGUAUAGUGGAGCAACUACUUACCCACAACAAAUAUCAUCCGAUACUCAAAUCAGAAAGUUCCCCGCUGAAUUUCAAAUUAUAAAUGAUUUGGAUAAUGAUUCUGUAGUCCUAUUCAAAGCUGGCAUAGACAAGUACUGAUCUGCAUUAAUAUCACGGUACAGAAAUCAGCGAACCAAAAACGUAUAAUGCAGCACUGAUUUGAAUAAUUCUUUUGGAAUAUUAAAGAGAAAUUGGAUAAGAAGGAAAACGAGCACACUGGAUAGGAUACCGGUGGUGAACGUGGGAGG
Long non-coding RNA from Anneissia japonica, 301 nucleotides. RefSeq lists it as uncharacterized. The transcript has 3 exons. The record is from RefSeq and is a predicted model, not a curated record. Lineage: Eukaryota; Metazoa; Echinodermata; Crinoidea; Comatulida; Comatulidae.